UGGAGGGAAGGAAAAUUGUUUAAAAUACGCCAUAAUGAAACAGGAUUCUUUGUAGGAUAGCUGAAAACAAACAAAAGAGAUGGCAUCUAUGCUCUCUUGUUGACCUCUGCUGUCUGAGGCUCCUUUAAAUACUGGGCUUUUAAGGCUAUAUUAUAGGGACUGUUGUUUGGCCUUGUGUGCGCGCGCAUGCGCGCAUGUAAAUUCAGUUGUCAUUCUUCAGGCCCAUUCACCUUAGUUUUUUUUUCUUUCUGAUUUUAGACAGUCUCUGGCUAGAGCUUGCUAGGCUAGCUGGGCAAUGACCUCAGAGAUUAGAAGUGCACACCAACACACCCAGAUCUUUAUUGCCUGGGUUCUGAGGAUUGCACUUGGCUUGGAUGCCCAAUACUUUAUUGGUGAAGCCACCUCCUCCCAGCCCCUAUAAAUCCAUCACAUUAGACCUGGGAUCACUUUUAAAGUAUUAUUCCCUCUGUGUUUCUCUUUUUCUAUUUUAUUCCAAAAGGUGUAGAGUUGGCUUUUGGUACAGCAGUGAGAUACUAAUUCUGCAGGUGGUUUGUGGAGAGAGCUCUUGGCAUUCCAGGCUGAUGUUUUUUGUAUCACAUGGACAGCAGGCUCCUCAGAUCUUGGGUUUGGGACGACUGUGGCCCCUGCUGCUCACUUCAUUUCAACUUUGCGGAGAGCUACUGGUCAGAGAUUACAGCUAAAUCUCACGUUGCUGUAUUCCUGACUCACAGAGACUGUGGCAUAUUAAGGGCUUGUGUGAAGGCAGUAGAUCGUGGCCCCUUAACCUCCAUCCACUGAUUUUUGUAAAUAAAGUUUUAUUGGAAGCUAGCAAUGCCUAUCAGUGCCUGUAUUGUCUCUGCUGCUUCCAUACGACCUGAGCAGUAGAGACUGGUGGCUUCAUGAAGAGACCACAGCUUGAAUAUUUGCUACCUGGCCCUUGGAGAGAAAACUUGCUCAUCACUAAUACAAUGAAGUCCAAAGCUAGAACAGUGCUCUCCCUGUCCUCAAAAGAAUUUCCCUUUUCACUUGAGUUUAGUGCAAUCGGCAUUAACUGAGAGCCUACUGUGUACAGAAAUGGUUUCAGUCACACUUUGAAAUUCUGCCCUUAUUCUGUAUCACGGUCUCCUCCACUGGGGGUCUUAUACCACGCAUGCUGGGCUAGUGUUCAUGGAUAAGAAUGUAUGUCGUGAGCCUGGAGUGAGCAAAGUGCCCUUGACAAAACAAUAGGUCUGCGAUCUGGAGGAGAGCAGGGGCAAAGGCAUGUCCUCCUGCACGGUCCUAGCAUGAUCGCGUUGGCUGCGCCCUCCUAUCCUGGGCCCCAAGUGUCUCACCCUCUUCUCUAGCGCAAUCAUCCCGUAGCCAGAGGGGUUCAGUGGGCAUGGUGGGGGCUGCCUAGGUGUCGGAGGCUUCUGAGGUCUGCUCCCAGUGGUCCUGCUGCUGACUGAGCUUUGCAGGUGCCUCAGGGCACGUGCCUCACCUUUUGCUAUCUGCCCCUCCAUCCAGACGUGGAAUGUGGAUGAAGGAGGAUAAACCACUGCUGUCUUUCUGUCCAGAGCCAGGCUUCCCACCUGGUCCAUAAACCCGUACUAGGUAGUGCUGGUGGUGCAAUGGAGUUAGAGAUCUCUACUGAAGGAUCACCCCUCUUGGGGGUGGGGAGGGGACGAGGAGGCUACAAGGAGCAAGAAUGGGCUGAGGCCUCAGAGGUGGGGCAGUUUGAGUCCCUAAGGGCAUCCCACCUGAACUCAGCAGCAGGCUCAGUGUGCAGGUCUCCUGAGUUGGAACCCAGAAGCCUGUCUUACCAGCUGUGUGAGCUUCAGCACGGUGCAGUUCUUUGCCUUGCUUGCCUUCUCGGUGUCAGCAAUACACCCUGCCUUCUAGCAUUCUAGUGGGGGUGGGCCGACAUAGCAAGGACUGGAGGUAAUGACUCUCGAUAAUAAGCAUUCACAAAUGGAACAGCACUCAGAUUCCUGUGCCCAAACCACACAUCCAGAGGAUAAGGUGAUGGUGAGAUACCCAUUCUGUGGGUUGACUGGCCACUGACUAGGUCCUGGAUUCACCUGUUAUUUCAGCAUCAACUGGUUCUACGCUCUGCAUUCAGUGUAUUGGCUGGAGAGCUACUAGGUCCUGGGCUCUACAGGAGACCCUCUGUGUGCUCUUGGGGCUGACUUCCUGGUCAUGCCAACUGUUGUGUGGGUUGCUUUUGUCAACCUGACUUAAACCUAGAUAUGUUUGGGAAAAAGGAAUCGAGGAAAUACUUACAUCGGAUUGGCCUAGAGGCAAGCCUAUGUGGGGGGAGGUUUUCUUUAUUAAUGAUCGAUGUGGAAGGGAUCAUCCCACCAUCGAUUGGUGUCAUCUCUGGGCAGGUGGUCCUGGAGCAUCUAAGAAAGCAGGCUGAUGAACACGGGGAACAAGCUGAUGAACAGUGUUUCUCCAUGAAGUUGCUAUCCCCAGGUUCCUGCCCUGCUUGAGUUCCUGCCUUGGCUUCCCUCAGUGAUGAACUGUGAUAUGUAACCAUAAACUAAAUAAACCCUUUCCUUCCCAA
Molecule: long non-coding RNA, 2542 nt
Organism: Mesocricetus auratus (golden hamster)
Lineage: Eukaryota; Metazoa; Chordata; Mammalia; Rodentia; Cricetidae
Exons: 2
Source: RefSeq, a predicted model, not a curated record